UGGUAAUGCCUCUGUUAGACUGUGGAUAAAAAUGAACACGUGUUCCAAGGCCUUGAUGAGCUAAACCAGUUAUGCAAAGUGAAACUCUUUGCAUAGUCUUUUGUUCCAUUCCUAAUCUCUAGUUGACUGUACAGUGGGAAAUCAACCUCCGGGGGUUCCAGGAGGGCCUGAAGCAACCUCCACCAGGCCUUAGCCACACAGAAGUAGAUUUUGUUCUCUAGCAAGCUCCAGGAGUUGACAAUGGACAGGGAAGCCUGGCGUACUGCAGCGCAUGGGGUCACAAAGAGUCGGACAAGACUGAGAGAUGGAACUGAACUGAAGGCAACUGUGCUCCGGUGGAGGCUGGAGGACCACAGUUCAAGGAUGUGAAAGGUGGGAUACCCAAAGAAGCUCCAAAUACCACCUGCCGGUCUGGAGGGGAAGUCAAGAUUGUGCAUUUCUAACAAGUUCCCAAGUGAUCUGAUGCUGAGACCAUACUUUGAGAACAACUUCCCCAGAAAAAUUCUUGCAUGUGUGCAACAGAAAACAUGAACAAGAAAUUCCAUUGCACCUAAGAUUUAAUAACAACAACAACAAAAAAUGGAAAUAACCCAAAUGCCCAUCAACUGUGCAUGCUAAGUCACUUCAGUUGUGUCCAACUUUUUGCAACCCUGUGAACUGUAGCCCACCAGGCUCCUUUGUCCAUGGGACGCUCCUCUGUCCAUGGAAUUCUCCAAGCAAGAAUACUGGAAUGGGUUGCCACGCCCUACUCCAGGGGAUCUUCCCGACCCAGGGAUCAAAUCGGAGUCUGUUAUGUCUCCUGCAUUGGCACGCGGGUUCUUUACCAUUAGCACCACCUGGGAAGCCCCUCCCUUCAACUGUAAAUUGGACAAAUAAACUGUGGUAUUGUCAUCAGCAAAGCCCGUUAGCAAUUCCUG
Long non-coding RNA from Bos taurus (domestic cattle), 917 nucleotides. NCBI's taxonomy places the organism in Eukaryota, Metazoa, Chordata, Mammalia, Artiodactyla, Bovidae. The record is from Ensembl.